RNAcentral lists this ribosomal RNA (307 nucleotides) under uncultured Anaeroplasmataceae bacterium. RNAcentral describes it as "partial 16S ribosomal RNA". Lineage: Bacteria; Bacillati; Mycoplasmatota; Mollicutes; Anaeroplasmatales; Anaeroplasmataceae. The record is from RNAcentral.
GGAGUAUGGGCCGUGUCUCAGUCCCAUUGUGGCCGGUCACCCUCUCAGGUCGGCUACACAUCCUUGCCUUGGUGGGCUGUUAUCUCACCAACUAGCUAAUGUGCCGCAGGUCCAUCUAAGAGUGGUGCAAACGCACCUUUCAAGCGGAGACGAUGCCGUCUCCGUUGUUAUCCGGUAUUAGCCGAACUUUCGCUCGAGUAUCCCAGUCUCAAAGGCAGGUUACCUACGUGUUACUCACCCGUUCGCCGCUCGGUAGCAAGCUACCUCGCUCGACUUGCAUGUAUUAGGCACGCCGCCAGCGUUCAUC